Molecule: transfer RNA, 73 nt
Filed under: Symbiochloris sp. SG-2018
Lineage: Eukaryota; Viridiplantae; Chlorophyta; Trebouxiophyceae; Trebouxiales; Trebouxiaceae
Also listed under: 1 other name
Description: tRNA-Val
Rfam family: tRNA
About the family: Transfer RNA (tRNA) molecules are approximately 80 nucleotides in length. Their secondary structure includes four short double-helical elements and three loops (D, anti-codon, and T loops).
Source: RNAcentral
AGAUCCGUAGCUCAGUUGGUAGAGCUUCUGCCUUACAAGCAGAAUGUCAUCGGUUCGAGUCCGGUCGGGUCUA